GUAUUCAUCCCAGCAACACAUAUACUUAAACAAUAAUGAUACAAAGAAGAUUAGCAUGGCCCUGUGAAAGGACAACCUGCAAACUCAUAAGGCUUUGAAAUAUUUC
Molecule: small nuclear RNA, 106 nt
Organism: Antechinus flavipes (yellow-footed antechinus)
Lineage: Eukaryota; Metazoa; Chordata; Mammalia; Dasyuromorphia; Dasyuridae
Source: RefSeq, a predicted model, not a curated record